RNAcentral lists this ribosomal RNA (1377 nucleotides) under Kentrochrysalis sieversi. RNAcentral describes it as "16S ribosomal RNA". Lineage: Eukaryota; Metazoa; Arthropoda; Insecta; Lepidoptera; Sphingidae. The record is from RNAcentral.
GGGGGAAAAAUUAAUAAUAAAAAUUAUAAUAAAAAAAAUUUUAAUAUUAAAAUAUUUUGGGGGGUUAAAGUAUUUUUAAUAGAAAAAAUUAAUAAUUUUAUAGUUUAUUAGUAUUGUAAAAGAAAUUUGAAAUAAAGUUGAAAUAAAAAUUUAUUAAAAAGUAAAUUUAAUUUGUUGUAUCUUGUGUAUCAGAGUUUAUUAAUAAUAAUUUAUAAAUUAAAAUUCUCGAAUUUAAAAGAGUUAAUUAAUUAAAAAAUUUAUUGUUUUAUAAAUAUUUUAAAUAGUUAAUUGGAAAUGAAAUGUUAUUCGUUUUUAAAUAUAUCUAGUUUUUUUAGAAAAAAAUUAAAUUUGGAAUUAAUUAAAAAAUUAAUUUAUUAAUAAAUUAAUUUUUUAAUUAAUUUAAUAUUUUAAGGGAUAAGCUUUAAAUUAAAUUUUUAUAAUAAUUAAAAAAAAUUGAAAAUUUUAUAAUUUAUAUUGUUAAAAAAUUUUAUUUUAUUAUAAAUAAUUUCAUAAAAUUUAAAAUUUAAUAAAAUUUAAUUUUUUAUAAAAAAAAAAUUUAUAAUAAAAAUAAAUUAGUUAUAAUGAUAAAAUUAGUAUAUUAUAAAAAUUUUAUAAAAUGAAAAUAAAUUUAUUUUGAAAAUAUUUAAAAGGAACUCGACAAAUAAAUAUAUAUAUUUAUAUAUGAUAUAAAUGUAUAAUAUAUGUUCACCUGUUUAUCAAAAACAUGUCUUUUUGUAAAUAAUUUAAAGUCUAAUCUGCCCACUGAUUUAAAAAUUAAAGGGCUGCAGUAUAUUGACUGUACAAAGGUAGCAUAAUCAUUAGUCUCUUAAUUAGUGACUUGUAUGAAAGAUUGGAUGAAAUAUAAAUUGUCUCUUAAAUAUAUAAUUGAAUUUAAUUUUUUAAUUAAAAAGUUAAAAUAAUUUAAAAAGACGAGAAGACCCUAUAGAGUUUUAUAAUUAUUAUAUUUUAUUUUUUAAAUUUAUUAAUUUAUUUAAAUUAUAAUAAUUAUUUUAUUGGGGUGAUAAAAAAAUUUAAUAAACUUUUUUUUAAAAUGAACAUUAAUAAAUGAAUUUUUGAUCCAAUAAUAUUGAUUAUAAGAAAAAAUUACCUUAGGGAUAACAGCGUAAUUUUUUUUUUUAGUACAAAUAAAAAAAAAAGUUUGCGACCUCGAUGUUGGAUUAAGAUAAAAUUUAAAUGCAAAAGUUUAAAAUUUUGAUCUGUUCGAUCAUUAAAAUCUUACAUGAUCUGAGUUCAAACCGGUGUGAGCCAGGUUGGUUUCUAUCUUUUAAAAAAAUUAAUAUUUUAGUACGAAAGGAUCAAAUAUUAUAAUUAAAUUAAUUAAUUUUAUUGAAUAUUAUUAAUUUUAAUUAAAUUUUU